GCCAGACUCCUACGGGAGGCAGCAGUGGGGGAUAUUGCACAAUGGGGGGAACCCUGAUGCAGCGACGCCGCGUGGGUGAAGGAGCGUUUCGGCGCGUAAAGCCCUAUCGGCAGGGAAGAAGGAGGACGGUACCUGACUAAGAAGCCCCGGCUAACUACGUGCCAGCAGCCGCGGUAAUACGUAGGGGGCAAGCGUUAUCCGGAUUUACUGGGUGUAAAGGGGGCGCAGACGGCAGCGCAAGCCAGGAGUGAAAGCCCGGGGCCCAACCCCGGGACUGCUCUUGGAACUGCGCGGCUGGAGUGCAGGAGGGGCAGGCGGAAUUCCUGGUGUAGCGGUGAAAUGCGUAGAUAUCAGGAGGAACACCGGUGGCGAAGGCGGCCUGCUGGACUGUAACUGACACUGAGGCUCGAAAGCGUGGGGAGCAAACAGGAUUAGAUACCCCUGUAC
RNAcentral lists this ribosomal RNA (447 nucleotides) under uncultured bacterium. RNAcentral describes it as "partial 16S ribosomal RNA". It matches the Rfam family "Bacterial small subunit ribosomal RNA", at positions 330 to 793 of the family's 1533-position model. The record is from RNAcentral.